RNAcentral lists this long non-coding RNA (488 nucleotides) under Coffea arabica (coffee). Its description in RNAcentral is "long non-coding RNA (CARA_LNC002520)". Lineage: Eukaryota; Viridiplantae; Streptophyta; Magnoliopsida; Gentianales; Rubiaceae. The record is from RNAcentral.
AAUCUUCCACCAUUAUGCUAGAAGAAUAGAGCUUCUCCAGUAUAUCAGAGGUCAAAAACUUUUCAAACAGCUCCUUCUCCAAAGACUCAAGCAGAUAAAUCAGAUGUACCAUCUUUUCAAAAUUUUGUUUUGCAACAAAACUUCUUGCUACAUGAGUGCAGAAUGUAAUCAGACAUCUUCUGAGGGAUGGUAAAAUUGCUUUUACUCGUGCUCUGAUGAAUUCUAGAAAUGACUUUGGCUUAUCUUUUGGAGCUUCAUCUUUGUUUUCCUUGGUUUUGAUCAGCUCAUUUUCCAGAAAGAUAUGGUAGUGUGAGGCACCGUGCUCAAGCAAAUCAAUCAUAGAAUGCACACAAUGUUUCAAACCAUUUGAUGGUGCAAAGCACUCAACAAGCCUCUUCACGCGGUAGUCAAGAUAUAUAUCUUCAAUAUCAGGGGCAACUUUUAGUCGAUCCUUAUUUCCAAAUAAUAUAAUAUCUCCCAAUGGAGUA